ACUUUGUCAAGGGCCAGCGUUGGUUUCUCGUCUGGACUACUGUUUGCAAACUGCUGACUUACAAAAUGGUAACAGCCUCCUAACAAUGGGUGAAUCUACAGGAUGUCAAGCAGCAACUCUCAGGUGAACCACUCAGUCAGUGGAUCUGGUGUUAACUAUACAAUGCCAAAUGUCUUCUGGUGAUCUGAAGACAUCAGGGGCUUUUCUAUCAUGUAGACCAAACAUGAUUCAGGUGCAAAAAAGGGCCUGGAAGACUGCGUACGGAAAAAUGGGGCAGCAGUGUGAGAGUAUUCUGAAACAACGCGAAGACAGAAAUAGCAGCGCCGACAGAGUUGCAGAACUCCAGAGCCAGAAGGAUGAUAUCUCAACAAAUGACAGAGCCCAAUUCAUUGACUCCAAUAAGAACGACACGCGUCUAUUAUAACUUUACAAGAUGGAAAGUACAUACAGAAAAAUUUUGAAGUUUUAAGAGUUAAAUCUUAUAGUCCUAUAUGAAAGAAUGGAUCAGCAAAUUCAAAUAUUCAUAUCUUAUUGGGCUCUAUUUCCUGUAUUUUUCUCACAUGCCACUCUUUUAAAAUAGGUAUCUAUGUAUGUGUCAACAACCUUUGAAUAAGCCAGAGCAACUAGGCAAGAAAAAAAAAAAAGAACAGCUAAACUGGAAAGAAGGAAGUCAAAUUAUCCCUGUUUGUAGAUGACAUGGUCACAUAUAUAGAGAAACCUAAACAUUCUACCAAAAAAACUCUUAGAAUUGAUCAACAAAUUCAGUAAAUUUUCAGGAUACAAAAUUGACAUGAAAAAUCAGUAGCAUUUUUAUACAUGAACAACAAACUAGAUGAAAAACAAAGCAAGAAGGCAAUCCCAUUUACAAUAGCUACAAAAAUAAUUAAAUACAAUAAUGUAACCAAGGUAGUAAAGAUCUCUACAAGGAAAACCACAAAUGAGAGAAACUAAAGAGGAUAAAAAUAAAUGGAAAGACAUUCCAUGCUCAUGCAUCAGAAUAAUUAAUAUUAUUAAAUGACCAUACUACCCAAAGCAACCUACACACUCAACGUAAUCCCUAUCAAAAUACCAAUGACAUUCUUCACAGAAAUAGAAAAAAGCCUUAAAAUUUGUAUGGAACCACAAAAAACACAAUGCCAAAGCAAUAUUAAGCAAAAAAGAAAGAAGAAAGAAAAAAAGAGAGAAAGAGAGAAAGGAAGGAAGGAAGGAAG
Molecule: long non-coding RNA, 1211 nt
Filed under: Homo sapiens (human)
Lineage: Eukaryota; Metazoa; Chordata; Mammalia; Primates; Hominidae
Description: HSALNT0292618
Source: RNAcentral